RNAcentral lists this unclassified non-coding RNA (1030 nucleotides) under Pyricularia oryzae. Its description in RNAcentral is "sequence contains ITS1, 5.8S rRNA gene, ITS2". The stretch from base 652 to 805 matches the Rfam family "5.8S ribosomal RNA". The record is from RNAcentral. Lineage: Eukaryota; Fungi; Ascomycota; Sordariomycetes; Magnaporthales; Pyriculariaceae.
UUUUCCGUUUUGGUUUUUUUCUUUUUUUUUUCCCCAAUUAAUUUAAUUGGGGGGGUUUUUCCCCCUUUGGGGGGCCACCCUAAAAAAAAAGGGGGGGGGGGGGGGGGGAACCCCCCGGGAAUUAUAAAGAGGGGUUUUUUUUUCCCUUUUUUUUCCCCCAUAAAGAAAAAACCCCCCUAAAAUAAUUUGGGGCCCCGGCCGGAGGCCCCGGGCGCCCCAAACACCAAGCCGAGGCUGAGGUAAAUACGUUGAAACCGCUGCCGCCGAAUACGCGCGCAAUGUUUAAAAGAUUGCUGAUUCAAUGAAUUCUGCAAUUCACAUUACUUAUCCAUUUCGUGCUUCUUUAUCGAUCCAGAACCAAAGAUCCGUGUUAAAGUUUGAUUAUUUUCUUUCAGGUUAGAGAUACUGAAAAAAUAAGAGUUUGAACCUCCGGCGGCUGCCCGCCGAAGCAACGACAGAGUUAUGUUCACAGGUUGGAGUUUUUCAACUCAGUAAUUCUCUUAGGGUGACUGCGGAGGGAUCAUUACUGAGUUGAAAAACUCCCAACCCCUGUGAACAUAACCUCUGUCGUUGCUUCGGCGGGCACGCCCGCCGGAGGUUCAAAACUCUUAUUUUUUCCAGUAUCUCUGAGCCUGAAAGACAAAUAAUCAAAACUUUCAACAACGGAUCUCUUGGUUCUGGCAUCGAUGAAGAACGCAGCGAAAUGCGAUAAGUAAUGUGAAUUGCAGAAUUCAGUGAAUCAUCGAAUCUUUGAACGCACAUUGCGCCCGCCCGUAUUCCGGCGGGCAUGCCUGUUCGAGCGUCAUUUCAACCCUCAAGCCUCGGCUUGGGUGUUGGGGCGCCCGGGCCCUCCGCGGCCCGGGGCCCCCGAAGUUUCGUUCGGCGGGCUCGUCGGUCCUCUGAGCGCGGUAAAACGCGGUAAAACGCGAACCUCGUUUCGGAUUCGUCCCCGGGCGUGCUCUCAGCUCGCGUAAACCCCCCUAUUUUUGAAAAGGUUGCCCUCGGGAUCCAGUUAGGAUACCCCACGGUU